RNAcentral lists this transfer RNA (76 nucleotides) under Phytophthora infestans T30-4. It matches the Rfam family "tRNA". From Rfam's summary of the family: Transfer RNA (tRNA) molecules are approximately 80 nucleotides in length. Their secondary structure includes four short double-helical elements and three loops (D, anti-codon, and T loops). The record is from Rfam by way of RNAcentral. Lineage: Eukaryota; Oomycota; Peronosporomycetes; Peronosporales; Peronosporaceae.
GUCCCCGUGGCACCAAUUGGAUAAGGCAUCCGCCUACGAAAGCGGGAGAUUGCGGGUUCGAGUCCCGUCGGAGACU